This 468-nucleotide ribosomal RNA is filed under the name uncultured bacterium. RNAcentral's name for it is "partial 16S ribosomal RNA". It matches the Rfam family "Bacterial small subunit ribosomal RNA", at positions 28 to 507 of the family's 1533-position model. The record is from RNAcentral.
GACGAACGCUGGCGGCGUGCUUAACACAUGCAAGUCGAACGGAAAGGCCCUGCUUUUGUGGGUUGCUCGAGUGGCGAACGGGUGAGUAACACGGGAGUAACCUGCCCUUUACUUUGGGAUAACUUCAGGAAACUGGGGCUAAUACCGGAUAGGAGCUCCUGCUGCAUGGUGGGGGUUGGAAAGUUUCGGCGGUUGGGGAUGGACUCGCGGCUUAUCAGCUUGUUGGUGGGGUAGUGGCUUACCAAGGCUUUGACGGGUAGCCGGCGUGAGAGGGUGACGGGCCACAUUGGGACUGAGAUACGGCCCAGACUCCUACGGGAGGCAGCAGUGGGGAAUAUUGCACAAUGGGCGGAAGCCUGAUGCAGCAACGCCGCGUGCGGGAUGACGGCCUUCGGGUUGUAAACCGCUUUCGCCUGUGACGAAGCGUGAGUGGCGGUAAUGGGUAAAGAAGCACCGGCUAACUACGUG